CUACGGGGGGCUGCAGUGGGGAAUAUUGCACAAUGGGCGCAAGCCUGAUGCAGCCAUGCCGCGUGUAUGAAGAAGGCCUUCGGGUUGUAAAGUACUUUCAGCGGGGAGGAAGGGAGUAAAGUUAAUACCUUUGCUCAUUGACGUUACCCGCAGAAGAAGCACCGGCUAACUCCGUGCCAGCAGCCGCGGGUAAUACGGAGGGUGCAAGCGUUAAUCGGAAUUACUGGGCGUAAAGCGCACGCAGGCGGUUUGUUAAGUCAGAUGUGAAAUCCCCGGGCUCAACCUGGGAACUGCAUCUGAUACUGGCAAGCUUGAGUAUCGUAGAGGGGGGUAGAAUUCCAGGUGUAGCGGUGAAAUGCGUAGAGACCUGGAGGAAUACCGGUGGCGAAGGCGGCCCCCUGGACGAAGACUGACGCUCAGGUGCGAAAGCGUGGGGAGCAAACAGGAUUAGAUACCCCUGUAGUC
RNAcentral lists this ribosomal RNA (465 nucleotides) under uncultured bacterium. Its description in RNAcentral is "partial 16S ribosomal RNA". It matches the Rfam family "Bacterial small subunit ribosomal RNA", at positions 339 to 795 of the family's 1533-position model. The record is from RNAcentral.